RNAcentral lists this ribosomal RNA (253 nucleotides) under uncultured bacterium. RNAcentral's name for it is "partial 16S ribosomal RNA". It matches the Rfam family "Bacterial small subunit ribosomal RNA", at positions 524 to 776 of the family's 1533-position model. The record is from RNAcentral.
GACGGAGGAUGCAAGUGUUAUCCGGAAUCACUGGGCGUAAAGCGUCUGUAGGUGGUUUAAAAAGUCUACUGUUAAAAAUUGAAGCUUAACUUCAAAGAUGCCGUAGAAACUUUUAAACUUGAGGAUGGUAGGGGUAGAGGGAAUUUCCAGUGGAGCGGUGAAAUGCGUAGAUCUUGGAAAGACCACCAAUGGCGAAGGCACUCUACUGGGCCAUGACUGACACUAAGAGACGAAAGCUAGGGGAGCAAACAGG